RNAcentral lists this ribosomal RNA (466 nucleotides) under uncultured bacterium. Its description in RNAcentral is "bacterial SSU rRNA". It matches the Rfam family "Bacterial small subunit ribosomal RNA", at positions 28 to 507 of the family's 1533-position model. The record is from RNAcentral.
GACGAACGCUGGCGGCGUGCUUAAAACAUGCAAGUCGAACGGACUUCUCAUGAAGCUUGCGAUUGAGAAGUUAGUGGCGGACGGGUGAGUAACGCGUGGGCAACCUGUCCCUGAGCCCGGGAUAACAGUUCGAAAGGACUGCUAAGACCGGAUAUACUUGCGGUGAAGCAUUUCACUGCAAGGAAAGGGAACGCUCAGGGAUGGGCCCGCGUCCCCAUUAGCUAGUUGGUGAGGUAACGGCCCACCAAGGCGACGAUGGGUAGCCGGCCUGAGAGGGUGAACGGCCACACUGGGACUGAGACACGGCCCAGACUCCUACGGGAGGCAGCAGUUGGGAAUCUUCGGCAAUGGGCGCAAGCCUGACCGAGCAACGCCGCGUGAGUGAUGAAGGUUUUCGGAUUGUAAAGCUCUGUCUUCCGGGACGAUAAUGACGGUACCGGAGGAGGAAGCCACGGCUAACUACGUG